GCCAGGCAUGGUGGCGCACGCCUGUAAUCCCAGCUACUUGGGAGACUGAGGCAGGAGAAUCGCUUGAACCCGGGAGGCAGAGGGUGCAGUGAACCAAGAUCACGCCACUGCACUCCAGCCUGGGUGACAGAGCGAGACUCUGUCUCCA
Pongo abelii (Sumatran orangutan) is the source of this 148-nucleotide unclassified non-coding RNA. It matches the Rfam family "Metazoan signal recognition particle RNA". From Rfam's summary of the family: The signal recognition particle (SRP) is a universally conserved ribonucleoprotein. It is involved in the co-translational targeting of proteins to membranes. The eukaryotic SRP consists of a 300-nucleotide 7S RNA and six proteins: SRPs 72, 68, 54, 19, 14, and 9. The record is from Ensembl. NCBI's taxonomy places the organism in Eukaryota, Metazoa, Chordata, Mammalia, Primates, Hominidae.